AGCGAACGUUAGCGGCGCGCCUAACACAUGCAAGUCGCACGAGAAACGGAGCAAUCCGCGGUACAGUGGCGCACGGGUGAGUAACACGUGGAUGACCUUCCCUGGAGUGGUGGAUAACCUGCCGAAAGGCGGGCUAAUACAGCAUGGGACCACGACGCUUUGGCGAUGUGGUGAAAGCGGGCCUCUAUAUAUAAGCUCGCGCUCCGGGACGGGUCCGCGUCCCAUCAGCUAGUUGGUGAGGUAACGGCUCACCAAGGCAACGACGGGUAGCUGGUCUGAGAGGAUGGCCAGCCACACUGGAACUGAGACACGGUCCAGACUCCUACGGGAGGCAGCAGUGGGGAAUCUUGCGCAAUGGGCGAAAGCCUGACGCAGCGACGCCGCGUGGGCGAAGAAGGCCUCGGUUGUAAGACCGUCGUGGGGAGGAACGAACCGUACGGGGGCGGAACGACCCUCCGUGCCGUGACGGUACGUCCUUUAGUCAAGCAUCGGCUAACUCUCGU
Molecule: ribosomal RNA, 503 nt
Filed under: uncultured bacterium
Lineage: Bacteria
Description: bacterial SSU rRNA
Rfam family: Bacterial small subunit ribosomal RNA
Source: RNAcentral